UUUUAUCUCUAUAUUCAUAUAAACAUUAAUUGAUCAGUCUAAUAGAAUAUAAACAAUGGAAUAAAAUAAAUAAAGAAAUUGUUUAUUGAUAAAUAUAAGCGUCGUUCUGGAGCAAUCUUCGCUCGCAAUCGUCUUCGCAUCGGAAUAGAAAAUUUUCGACUAAGUGAACAUAAAUAUAAAAUAAAAACUAAAGAAAACUAUUUAGCUAAA
RNAcentral lists this long non-coding RNA (210 nucleotides) under Gossypium raimondii (Peruvian cotton). RNAcentral describes it as "long non-coding RNA (GRAI_LNC001150)". The record is from RNAcentral. Lineage: Eukaryota; Viridiplantae; Streptophyta; Magnoliopsida; Malvales; Malvaceae.